AAGACCUUGCGCUUUUGGAGCGGCCGAUGCCUGAUUAGCUUGUUGGUAAGGUAAAAGCUUACCAAGGCUUCGAUCAGUAGCUGGUCUGAGAGGACGACCAGCCACACUGGGACUGAGACACGGCCCAGACUCCUACGGGAGGCAGCAGUGGGGAAUUUUGGACAAUGGGGGCAACCCUGAUCCAGCCAUGCCGCGUGAGUGAAGAAGGCCUUCGGGUUGUAAAGCUCUUUCAGCCGGAACGAAACGGUUACGGAUAACACCCGUGACUACUGACGGUACCGGAAGAAGAAGCACCGGCUAACUACGUGCCAGCAGCCGCGGUAAUACGUAGGGUGCGAACGUUAAUCGGAAUUACUGGGCGUAAAGCGUGCGCAGGUGGUUUUGUAAGUCAGAUGUGAAAGCCCCGGGCUCAACCUGGGAACU
RNAcentral lists this ribosomal RNA (423 nucleotides) under uncultured bacterium. RNAcentral describes it as "bacterial SSU rRNA". It matches the Rfam family "Bacterial small subunit ribosomal RNA", at positions 207 to 622 of the family's 1533-position model. The record is from RNAcentral.